AUGGUGCCUUUUUGCCUGGGUGAAAGAGAGAGCGAGGUGCGUGAAGAAACUGUUAUGGAAAAAUUAAUGACAUGUCAUUACAAUUGCAUGGGGAUAAGUGCAUCUGCACAAAGAUUGCCCACAAAACACCCAGCCCCCUUCAUGGGACUCCAGGAAAUACAAGAGGAGCUCUUCUGCAAAUGGCCUUUGUGGCAUAAGUCACUUAAAUGGGAACAAGGGAUCCAGAUGCGCCUAUUGACAGCAGAUGCUUUCACUUCGCCCUGUUUUAUCCACGAGUCCACCAGUUUCUUGAUGAAAUGUCGCUUUUACUGAUAAAAUCUGAGCUGGAAUAAUUCAGAGAGAGCAAUACAGCAGUCGUGCAUGGCCCCCUAGUCAGCCUCAAGACUCCUCUGGUUACAGAGCAGGAAAUUCUUCCUAGUCUCCCCUCUGUGAAGCUGAUUUAACAACUACAGUCAUACCUCGGGUUGAAUAUGCUUCAUGUGGAGCGUGUUCGAGUUACCCUCCAUGGCAACCCGGAAGUAAUGGAGCGUGUUACUUCCAGGUUUUGCUGCUCGCGCAGGCGCUCAAAAUGACGUCACACGCAUGCGCAGAAGCGGCGAAAAGCAACAUGCGCAGACGUGCUGUCGCUAGUUAUGUUUGCUUCUGGAUGCGAACGGGGCUCCGGAACGGAUCCUGUUCGUAUCCAGAGGUACCACUGUAUUGGUAGGCUAUCCAAGCUGACUUGUCAAUGAAUGAAACAGGCCUGUGACAAUGUAUUCUGGAGUCAAGAUAUUCACCAUUUCAAAAGAACGGCCCAAACUCACCGGGAAAAGGCAACCAGCAAGCAUUGUUGGGUGUCUUGACUGACAGGCACCAAGUCAUACUCUCACAUUUCUGUUGUGGACCACCUCUUUCUGUGACAUUUGUAUGAUAAUUUGGGGUGGUCUUUGGCUAAGGGGUUGGGCAAUUUCUAAAGUCUUUAAAAGUUGUUGUGGGUCCUCUCAACUCCUUGCGAGGGCGGCGAGGGGCGGGGGACUCUGUUGCUGCAGAAAAUAAAGAUAUUCCUUGCUUUCUUC
RNAcentral lists this long non-coding RNA (1055 nucleotides) under Podarcis muralis (Common wall lizard). RNAcentral describes it as "lncRNA (ENSPMRG00000018313.1)". The record is from RNAcentral. Lineage: Eukaryota; Metazoa; Chordata; Lepidosauria; Squamata; Lacertidae.